RNAcentral lists this ribosomal RNA (436 nucleotides) under uncultured bacterium. RNAcentral's name for it is "SSU rRNA". It matches the Rfam family "Bacterial small subunit ribosomal RNA", at positions 26 to 518 of the family's 1533-position model. The record is from RNAcentral.
AGAAUGAACGCUAGCGAUAUGCUUAACACAUGCAAGUUGAACGUUGUUUUCGAAUCAGAAUGAGAACAAAGUAGCGAACGGGUGCGUAACACGUGGGAAUCUGCCGAACAGUUUGGGCCAAAUCCCGAAUGAAUAAAAGCUAAAAAGCGCUGUUUGAUGAGCCCACGUAGUAUUAGGUAGUUGGUUAGGUAAAAGCUGACCAAGCCUACGAUGCUUAGCUGGUCUUUUCGGAUGAUCAGCCACACUGGGACUGAGACACGGCCCAGACUCCUACGGGAGGCAGCAGUGGGGAAUCUUGGACAAUGGGCGAAAGCCUGAUCCGGCAAUAUGGCGUGAGUGAAGAAGGGCAACGCAGCUUGUAAAGCUCUUUCAUCGAGUGUGCGAUUGUGACAAGACUCGAAUAAGAAGCCCCGGCUAACUCCGCGCCAGCAGCCGC